CGACGUUCAACCGCAAAACAAGCAGAGGGGGCUUAGUGGUGGGGUGACUGCGUACCUUUUGUAUAAUGGGUCAGCGACUUAUAUUCUGUAGCAAGGUUAACCGAAUAGGGGAGCCGGAGGGAAACCGAGUCUUAAUUGGGCGUUAAGUUGCAGGGUAUAGACCCGAAACCCGGUGAUCUAGCCAUGGGCAGGUUGAAGGUUGGGUAACACUAACUGGAGGACCGAACCGACUAAUGUUGAAAAAUUAGCGGAUGACCUGUGGCUGGGGGUGAAAGGCCAAUCAAACCGGGAGAUAGCUGGUUCUCCCCGAAAGCUAUUUAGGUAGCGCCUCGUGAAUUCAUCUCCGGGGGUAGAGCACUGUUUCGGCUAGGGGGCCAUCCCGGCUUACCAACCCGAUGCAAACUGCGAAUACCGGAGAAUGUUAUCACGGGAGACACACGGCGGGUGCUAACGUCCGUCGUGAAGAGGGAAACAACCCAGACCGCCAGCUAAGGUCCCAAAGUCAUGGUUAAGUGGGAAACGAUGUGGGAAGGCCCAGACAGCCAGGAUGUUGGCUUAGAAGCAGCCAUCAUUUAAAGAAAGCGUAAUAGCUCACUGGUCGAGUCGGCCUGCGCGGAAGAUGUAACGGGGCUAAACCAU
Molecule: ribosomal RNA, 639 nt
Filed under: Salmonella enterica subsp. enterica
Lineage: Bacteria; Pseudomonadati; Pseudomonadota; Gammaproteobacteria; Enterobacterales; Enterobacteriaceae
Description: partial 23S ribosomal RNA
Rfam family: Bacterial large subunit ribosomal RNA
Source: RNAcentral